CAUGCAAGUCGAACGGUAACGACCUUAUCACUUUCGGGUGAUGAGGGGCGACGAGUGGCGGACGGGUAAGUAACGCAUAGGAAUCUGCCCAAUAGUGGGGGACAACCUGGGGAAACCCAGGCUAAUACCGCAUACGCCCUACGGGGGAAAGCGGGGGAUCUUCGGACCUCGCGCUAUUGGAUGAGCCUAUGUCUGAUUAGCUUGUUGGUAGAGUAACGGCCUACCAAGGCGACGAUCAGUAGCUGGUCUGAGAGGAUGAUCAGCCACACUGCGACUGAGACACGGCGCAGACUCCUACGGGAGGCAGCAGUGGGGAAUAUUGCACAAUGGGCGCAAGCCUGAUGCAGCAAUGCCGCGUGUGUGAAGAAGGCCUGCGGGUUGUAAAGCACUUUCAGUAGCGAAGAAAAGCCUGAGGUUAACACCCUCUGGUCUUGACGUUAGCUACACAAGAAGCACCGGCUAACUCCGUGCCAGCAGCCGCGGUAAUACGGAGGGUGCGAGCGUUAAUCGGAAUUACUGGGCGUAAAGCGCGCGUAGGCGGUUUGGUAAGUCGGAUGUGAAAUCCCCGAGCUUAACUUGGGAAUUGCAUUCGAUACUGCCUGACUAGAAUGUGAUAGAGGUAAGUGGAAUUCCCGGUGUAGCGGUGAAAUGCGUAGAUAUCGGGAGGAACAUCAGUGGCGAAGGCGGCUUACUGGAUCAACAUUGACG
RNAcentral lists this ribosomal RNA (708 nucleotides) under uncultured bacterium. RNAcentral describes it as "bacterial SSU rRNA". It matches the Rfam family "Bacterial small subunit ribosomal RNA", at positions 54 to 745 of the family's 1533-position model. The record is from RNAcentral.